GGGCGCUUAGCUCAGCUGGUUCAGAGCGUACGCUUCACACGCGUAAGGUCACUGGUUCGAUUCCAGUAGCGCCCA
RNAcentral lists this transfer RNA (75 nucleotides) under Bacteroidota bacterium. RNAcentral's name for it is "Bacteroidetes bacterium (wastewater metagenome) tRNA-Val". It matches the Rfam family "tRNA". Rfam says of the family: Transfer RNA (tRNA) molecules are approximately 80 nucleotides in length. Their secondary structure includes four short double-helical elements and three loops (D, anti-codon, and T loops). The record is from RNAcentral. Lineage: Bacteria; Pseudomonadati; Bacteroidota.